Molecule: ribosomal RNA, 516 nt
Filed under: uncultured bacterium
Lineage: Bacteria
Description: bacterial SSU rRNA
Rfam family: Bacterial small subunit ribosomal RNA
Source: RNAcentral
AGAGUUUGAUCAUGGCUCAGGAUAAACGCUGGCGGCGUGCCUAACACAUGCAAGUCGCACGUCCUUUUUUUCGCAAGAGAGAGAGGGAGUGGCGGACGGGUGAGUAACACAUGGGUACCUACCUCCGGGUGAGGGAUACCGGCGCGAAAGCGCCGACAAGCCCGCAUAGGCUCUUCUUUAUAAGAGGGGGAGAGCAAAGCUUUUCUCGUGAGAGGGAAGCGCCGGGAGAUGGGCCUGUGGCCGAUUAGCUGGCUGGUGGGGUAAUGGCUCACCAGGGCGAUGAUCGGUAGCUGGUCUGAGAGGACGAGCAGCCACACUGGGAUUGAGAACGGCCCAGACUCCUACGGGGGGCAGCAGUGAGGAAUUUUCCGCAAUGGGCGCAAGCCUGACGGAGCAACGCCGCGUGCAGGAAGACGGCCUUCGGGUUGUAAACUGCUUUUCUGUGGGACGAGAGAACAAGGACGGUACCGCAGGAAGAAGCCCCGGCUAACUACGUGCCAGCAGCCGCGGUAAUAC